Molecule: long non-coding RNA, 301 nt
Filed under: Nicotiana benthamiana
Lineage: Eukaryota; Viridiplantae; Streptophyta; Magnoliopsida; Solanales; Solanaceae
Description: long non-coding RNA (NBEN_LNC014129)
Source: RNAcentral
AUGUUUUCAAUGAAUUUCGACUAUACCCAUUAAAAAAAUUCCUUCUUUGUUUCGAUUUUUGGAAUAUUGGCUAGAGGUUGGUAAGUUGAAACUUAUAUGUGACAUUUCUGUAAGUUUUCCAUAAUAUAGUACUCUCUCCAGUCCACAAUAAGUAAUUUUAUGACUUUUUGUGGUCCAAAAUAAGUAAUUUUCUAUUUCAAGAAUGAAUUAAUUAUUUUUUUCCUAUAUUGUCCUUGGAGUAAAUAGUGUUGGAGUAUGUGUUAGGAAUAUUUAUGUGAAGAGAUAGUAAAGGUUAAUAUGG